UUAAGCUAAGAAGAGCGUAGGGAGAAUGCCUUGGCAUUAGGAGCCGAUGAAGGACGUGAUAAGCUGCGAUAAGCUGCGGGGAUCAGCAAGUAUGAAUUGAUCCGCAGAUUUCCGAAUGGAGCAAUCCGUAUGUGUAUGCACAUACAUCAUAUACUGAAUCAAAUAGGUAUAUGAGGGGAACCGCCUGAACUGAAACAUCUAAGUAGGGCGAGGAAGAGAAAUCAACCGAGAUUCUGUGAGUAGUGGCGAGCGAAAGCGGAAGAGGCUAAACCAUAGGUAGCAAUACUUAUGGGGUUUCGGACAGCAUUUAGUAUUGAUAAUUUCUAGUUGAAACGUGUGGGAAAACGUACCGAAGAGUGUGAGAGUCACGUAAGCGAAAGAGAAAGUCAGCGAGCUGUAUCCAAAGUACCGCGGGACACGUGAAACCCCGUGGGAAGAUGGGGGGACCAUCCUCCAAGCCUAAAUACUACCUAAUGACCGAUAGCGAAUAGUACUGUGAAGGAACGGUGAAAAGAACCCCGGGAGGGGAGUGAAAAAGAACCUGAAACCCUAUGCUUACAAGCACCGAGAGCACGUCAAAGUGUGAUCGGGUACCUUUUGUAGAAUGGUCCGGCGAGUUAUUGUAUGCGGCAAGGUUAAGUGCUUAAGGCACGGAGCCGAAGCGAGAGCAAGUCUGAAUAGGGCGAGUAAGUCGUAUGCAAUAGACCCGAAACCGAGUGACCUAUCCAUGUCCAGGCUGAAGUGGAGGUAAAACUCUAUGGAGGGCCGAACACACGUCCGUUGAAAAGGCCGGUGAUGAGGUGUGGAUAGCGGAGAAAUUCCAAUCGAACUCGGAUAUAGCUGGUUCUCUCCGAAAUAGCUUUAGGGCUAGCCUCGUGAAAGAUUACUGGAGGUAAAGCACUGAAUGGGCUAGGGGUCGAAAGAUUACUGAACCCUAUCAAACUAAGAAUGCCAGAUAAUUGAUUCACGGGAGUCAGACAAUGUGAGAUAAGUCUCAUUGUCAAAAGGGAAACAGCCCAGACCCACAGCUAAGGUCCCUAAACAUUGUUAAGUGGAAAAGGAUGUGGGGUUGCAUAAACAACCAGGAUGUUGGCUUAGAAGCAGCCACUCAUUAAAAGAGUGCGUAAUAGCUCACUGGUCGAGUGACCCUGCGCCGAAAAUUCAACGGGGCUAAACAAUAUACCGAAGCUUGGGAUUCUAAAGUAAUUUAGAGUGGUAGGAGAGCGUCGAAUAAGGGGUGAAGUCAGAGCGGAAGCGCUGGUGGACUUUAUUCGAGUGAGAAUGCCGGAAUGAGUAGCGAGAAUUAUGUGAGAAUCAUAAUGGCCGAAAAUCUAAGGUUUCCUGAGGAAGGUUCGUCCGCUCAGGGUAAGCCGGGGGCUAAGGCGAGGCGGAGACGCGUAGCCGAUGCACAUACGGUUGAAAUUCCGUAGCCACCGAAAGAUUUAAGUACAGGGACGCUUUAGAAGUGAUGUAGCCGGGCGAUGGUUGACCCGGUCGUAAGGGAUCGAAAAUGAGUAGAGAAGUCAUCAUGGAAAGAGACAAGAAAAGCUGUAUGGAUAUCUUAGGUGCCCGUACCGCAAACCGACACAGGUAGAUAGGAAGAAGAUUCUAAGGCCAACGGGAGAAGGGUUGUUAAGGAACUCGGCAAGUUGACCCCGUAACUUCGGAAUAAGGGGUGCUCAUGAAAGUGAGCCGCAGAGAAUAGGCCCAGGCAACUGUUUACCAAAAACACAGGUUUGUGCUAAAUCGAAAGAUGACGUAUACGAGCUGACGCCUGCCCGGUGCUGGAAGGUUAAGAGGAGAUGUGCAAGCAUUGAAUCGAAGCCCCAGUGAACGGCGGCCGUAACUAUAACGGUCCUAAGGUAGCGAAAUUCCUUGUCAGGUAAG
This 1887-nucleotide ribosomal RNA is filed under the name human gut metagenome. RNAcentral's name for it is "bacterial LSU rRNA". It matches the Rfam family "Bacterial large subunit ribosomal RNA", at positions 3 to 1980 of the family's 2925-position model. The record is from RNAcentral.